This 216-nucleotide long non-coding RNA is filed under the name Brachypodium distachyon (stiff brome). RNAcentral's name for it is "long non-coding RNA (BDIS_LNC003454)". Lineage: Eukaryota; Viridiplantae; Streptophyta; Magnoliopsida; Poales; Poaceae. The record is from RNAcentral.
UGCUAGUAUGCAACAUGUCUCAAAGGAGGGUACAGUGGGGUUAUGCAGCAGCAGAUAUCUGGAGAGACACUCUAAUAACAACGUCUAACGAGAGGAGGAGAAGCGUCUACCAAGUGAGGUGAUUAACCUAUUUACUAAACACCAAACAACACAAUCCUCCUUUCACCCCCUCAACACCCUGUGAGGAAGCAAUCCAAAGGACACUCACACUUAAGC